CCUACGGGUGGCAGCAGUAGGGAAUAUUGCUCAAUGGGGGAAACCCUGAAGCAGCAACGCCGCGUGGAGGAUGAAGGUUUUCGGAUUGUAAACUCCUUUUGUUAGAGAAGAUAAUGACGGUAUCUAACGAAUAAGCACCGGCUAACUCCGUGCCAGCAGCCGUGGUAAUACGGAGGGUGCAAGCGUUACUCGGUAUCACUGGGCGUAAAGAGCGCGUAGGCGGGAUAGCAAGUCAGAUGUGAAAUCCUAGGGCUUAACCAUAGAACUGCAUUUGAAACUGUUAUUCUAGAGUAUGGGAGAGGUAGGUGGAAUUCUUGGUGUAGGGGUAAAAUCCGUAGAGAUCAAGAGGAAUACUCAUUGCGAAGGCGACCUGCUAGAACAUGACUGACGCUGAUGCGCGAAAGCGUGGGGAGCAAACAGGAUUAGAUACCCCUGUAGUC
This 440-nucleotide ribosomal RNA is filed under the name uncultured bacterium. RNAcentral's name for it is "partial 16S ribosomal RNA". It matches the Rfam family "Bacterial small subunit ribosomal RNA", at positions 338 to 795 of the family's 1533-position model. The record is from RNAcentral.